Molecule: ribosomal RNA, 501 nt
Filed under: uncultured bacterium
Lineage: Bacteria
Description: bacterial SSU rRNA
Rfam family: Bacterial small subunit ribosomal RNA
Source: RNAcentral
AGGGUUCGAUUCUGGCGUCAGGAUGAACGCUGGCGGCGUGCUUAACACAUGCAAGUCGAACGGACUGCGAGGAGCCUAGCUCCUCAAAGUUAGUGGCGGACGGGUGAGUAACGCGUGGGUAACCUGCCUUAUACUGGGGAAUAACACAGAGAAAUCUGUGCUAAAACCGCAUAAGCUUACAAGGUCGUAUGACCUAGUAAGAAAAACUUUGGUGGUAUAAGAUGGGCCCGCGUCCGAUUAGCUAGUUGGUAGGAUAACAGCCUACCAAGGCAACGAUCGGUAACCGGCCUGAGAGGGUGACCGGUCACACUGGGACUGAGACACGGCCCAGACUCCUACGGGAGGCAGCAGUGGGGAAUAUUGCACAAUGGAGGAAACUCUGAAUGCAGCAACGCCGCGUGAAGGAUGAAGGUUUUCGGAUCGUAAACUUCUAUCAGCAGGGAAGAAAACAAUGACAGUACCUGACUAAGAAGCCCCGGCUAACUACGUGCCAGCCGCGGC